RNAcentral lists this long non-coding RNA (319 nucleotides) under Homo sapiens (human). RNAcentral's name for it is "HSALNT0063266". Lineage: Eukaryota; Metazoa; Chordata; Mammalia; Primates; Hominidae. The record is from RNAcentral.
GUUGUGAAAGGUACUGUUUGCCUUUCCAACUUUAAUGUGCGUGUGUAUGACGUAAGGACCUUGUUAAAACGCAGUUUCUGACUCAGUAGUGUGAAUGGGGCCAGAAUGCUGCAUUUCUAACACUCUCCCAGAUGGUGCCAAUGUUCCUCAUCCACAGACCACAGCUGAAGUAGCAACUAUGUAAACCUCAGGCUACUCAUCACAGUGCAGAGUGAUUUCACCUAAAGGCACAACAGCAGCUGAUUGCCACAAUACAAACAAGAGCCGCCACUUACUGACAGCAGCUACGUGCCAGAAAUAACCAUCAACCUUGAAGCUG